RNAcentral lists this ribosomal RNA (506 nucleotides) under uncultured bacterium. RNAcentral describes it as "partial 16S ribosomal RNA". It matches the Rfam family "Bacterial small subunit ribosomal RNA", at positions 29 to 523 of the family's 1533-position model. The record is from RNAcentral.
AGUGAACGCUGGCGGUAGGCCUAACACAUGCAAGUCGAACGGCAGCACAGGAGAGCUUGCUCUCUGGGUGGCGAGUGGCGGACGGGUGAGGAAUACAUCGGAAUCUACUUUUUCGUGGGGGAUAACGUAGGGAAACUUACGCUAAUACCGCAUACGACCUACGGGUGACAGCAGGGGAUCUUCGGACCUUGCGCGAUUGAAUGAGCCGAUGUCGGAUUAGCUAGUUGGCGGGGUAAAGGCCCACCAAGGCGACGAUCCGUAGCUGGUCUGAGAGGAUGAUCAGCCACACUGGAACUGAGACACGGUCCAGACUCCUACGGGAGGCAGCAGUGGGGAAUAUUGGACAAUGGGCGCAAGCCUGAUCCAGCCAUACCGCGUGGGUGAAGAAGGCCUUCGGGUUGUAAAGCCCUUUUGUUGGGAAAGAAAUCCAGCUGGUUAAUACUCGGUUGGGAUGACGGUACCCAAAGAAUAAGCACCGGCUAACUACGUGCCAGCCGCCGCUGUAA